Molecule: ribosomal RNA, 499 nt
Filed under: uncultured bacterium
Lineage: Bacteria
Description: partial 16S ribosomal RNA
Rfam family: Bacterial small subunit ribosomal RNA
Source: RNAcentral
GACGAACGCUGGCGGCGUGCCUAAUACAUGCAAGUCGAGCGAAGUUUUUCUGGUGCUUGCACUAGAAAAACUUAGCGGCGAACGGGUGAGUAACACGUAAAGAACCUGCCUCAUAGACUGGGACAACUAUUGGAAACGAUAGCUAAUACCGGAUAACAGUAUUUCUCGCAUGAGAGAUAUUUAAAAGUUGGUUAUGCUAACACUAUGAGAUGGCUUUGCGGUGCAUUAGCUAGUUGGUGGGGUAAAGGCCCACCAAGGCGACGAUGCAUAGCCGACCUGAGAGGGUGAUCGGCCACACUGGAACUGAGACACGGCCCAGACUCCUACGGGAGGCAGCAGUAGGGAAUCUUCCGCAAUGGGCGAAAGCCUGACGGAGCAACGCCGCGCGAGUGAAGAAGGAUUUCGGUUCGUAAAGCUCUGUUGUUAGGGAAGAAUGGAUAUGUAGUAACUAUACAUGUAAGAGACGGUACCUAACCAGAAAGCCACGGCUAACUACGUG